Oncorhynchus tshawytscha (Chinook salmon) is the source of this 6332-nucleotide long non-coding RNA. Lineage: Eukaryota; Metazoa; Chordata; Actinopteri; Salmoniformes; Salmonidae. The record is from Ensembl.
UAAAUUCUUAUUUUCAAUGACAGCCUAGGAACAGUGGGUUAACUGCCUGUUCAGGGGCAGAACGACAGAUUUGUACCUUGUCAGCUCGGGGGUUUGAACUUGCAACCUUCCAACGCUCUAACCACUAGGCUACCCUGCCGCCCCAGUGAUUACAGCCUCGAGUCUUCUUGGUUAUGACACUACAAGCUUGGCACACCUGUAUUUGGGGAGUUUCUCCCAUUCUUCUCAGCAGAUCCUCUCAAGCUCUGUCAGGCUGGAUGGGGAUCGUUGCGGCACAGCUAUUUUCAGGUCUCUCCAGAGGUGUUCUCUCGGGUUUAAGUCCAAGUUCUGGCUGGGCCACUCAAGGACAUUCAGAGACUUGUCCCCUAAGCCACUCCUGCGUUGUCUUGGCUGUGUGCUUAGGGUCAUUGUCCCAUUGGAAGGUGAACCUUCGCCCCAGUCUGAGGUCCUGAUCGCUCUGGAGCAGGUUUUCAUCAAGGAUCUCUGCCUCUGAAAAACGACCAACAGCAUGAUGCUGCCACCACCAUGCUUCACCGUAGGGAUGGUGCCAGGUUUUCUCCAGAUGUGAAGCUUGGCAUUCAGGCCAAAGAGUUCAAUCUUGGUUACAUCAGACCAUAGAAUCUUAUUUUUCAUGGUCUGCGUCCUUUAGGUGCCUUUUGAAAAACUCCAAGCGGGCUGUUAUGUGCCUUUUACUGAGGAGUGGCUUCUGUCUGGCCAUUCUACCAUAAAGGCCUGAUUGGUGGAGUGCUGCAGAGAAAGUUGUCCUUCUGGAAGGUUCUCCCAUCUCCACAGAGAAACUCUGGAGCUCUGUCGGAGCGACCAUCGGGUUCUUGGUCACCUCCCUGACCAAGGCCCUUCUCCCCUGAUUUCUCAGUUUGGCCGGGCAGCCAGCUCUAGGAAGAGUCUUGGUGGUUCCAAACUUCUUCCAUUUAAGAAUGAUGGGAGGCCACUGUGUUCUUGGGGACCUUGGAUGCGCAGACAUUUUUUGGUAUGCUUCCCCAGAUCCUGUGCCUCGACACAAUCCUGUAUCGGAGCUCUACAGAAAAUUCCUUAUACCUAAUGGCUUGGUUUUUGCUCUGACUCGCACUUUGAACUGUGGGACCUUAUAUAGACAGGUGUGUGCCUUUCCAAAACAUGUCCAAUCAAUUGAAUUUACCACAGGUUGGACUCCAAUCAAGUUGUAGAAACAUCUCAAGGAUGAUCAAUGGAAACAGGAUGCACCUGAGCUCAAUUCCGAGUCUCAUAGCAAAGGGUCUUAAUACUUAUGUAAAUAACAUAUUUCUGUUUUUUUUAUUUUAUAAAUUUGCACAAAAAAAACAACCCUGUUUCCACUUUGUCAUUAUAAGGUAUUGUGUGUAGAUUGAUGAGAACAUUUUUUUAUUUAAUCCAUUUUAGAAUAAGGCUGUAAUGUAAUGUGGAAAAGGUCAAGGGGUCUGACUACUUUCCGAAUGCUCUGUAUAUCUGUUUAUUUAUUACUGUUUGUUGGGGAAAAAACUUCUGGACUCUUGGCCAUUUGUCCAGUGAAAAGUGCCAGCCUAAUCCUUCCUACUGACAUGCUGCUUUAUAGCACUGUUAGCCUAACCUCUCCUACUGACAUGCUGCUUUAUAGCACUGUUAGCCUAACCCUCUCCUACUAACAUGCUGCUUUAUAGCACUGUUAGCCUAACCCUCUCCUACUAACAUGCUGCUUUAUAGCACUGUUAGCCUAACCCUCUCCUACUAACAUGCUGCUUUAUAGCACUGUUAGCCUAACCCUCUCCUACUGACACACUGCUUUAUAGCACUGUUAGCCUAACCCUCUCCUACUGACAUGCUGCUUUAUAGCACUGUUAGCCUAACCCUCUCCUACUGACACACUGCUUUAUAGCACUGUUAGCCUAACCCUCUCCUACUGACAUGCUGCUUUAUAGCACUGUUUUUUGUUGUUACCGGAUUCACAGUACCACUUAAUUUCACCUUCCAAUGAGAUCAAAAAUGAGUGCAUUUCAAGUAUUAGAUGGUAUUUUAAAGCAGUCCCGUGAGACAAUGGGCUGCAUCUGAAAAUGAAUGGAUGCAUAUUUUGCCUACAUAGUACACUGCUUUUGUUCCAGGGCCCGCCUUUUGGCCAGGGCCCGCCUUUUGGCCAGGGCCCGCCUUUUGGCCAGGACCCGCGUAGGCAUUUCAGUGGCAGACUUGUUGAAAGGGAUAAGAUUUCUCAAGGUUUGAUGAAUACCACAAAGUUAAACCUUAUCUUACAUUUUAAUUGUCUACUCAUUCAACAAUGCAAUAUGUUCUGAAAUCACCUAAUACAUCACUUAAUACACUCUGACACACACAAUCACACGUAUCACACACUAUCACACAAUCAAAAAUGAACUUCACCAAAAAAUGUUUUCUGUGAGAUGUUGUAUCCUGUUUUAGAAGAGUGUGUUUCAAAAGUGAAUCCAAACCGAAAAAUACAAUAUUGGACAUAUUAGGCAACUUAAUGACAUGCGCAUUACAUUGCCUUGCCAUAUCCAAACACUAAAUGGGUAGCAACCAUCCGGGAGCUACCAGGUGCUGAAUUUAAGACAUUAUCUUUAUCAUACAUUAUCAUUAUACCAAAUCAAUUGUACUGGUUCAUAUCUGAACAGCGUUAUCCCACAGUGAAAUCUUAAAUCUCAAAGCCUAUGCUACUUGUACCGUUCAAUAUGUGGAAAUGGGAGGAAGAUUAGAUGAUUUGCUAGUGCUGGUAGUCUAUCUGGGGAAGAAACAAUAUGUCACUCCUAGGAAGGGAAGCAACAACAAACUUGACUGCCUUAUUUCUUAUUGAUAAGUCCAAGGCCUUACACCAUCUUUACAGACAGACUGUAUAUAAUAGUAUAGUAGUACAUAGAAUCUGCACAUUCUAGAAGCGAUUCUAGAACCAAACAGAUUCUGGAUCUAGAACCAGAGCUUCACUGUUCAUAUCAAGGCAGCUGUUUAAACUCUGAUCAUGUUUUCAAUACUAUUUCUUAUGGUUCCUUUGUUUAUUUGCAGGGUCACUUAAUGCAUCCAUACUGUAUAAAACAACCCACAUUGAGUGUGCCCUUACUCAGUAUCAGUUGUAGAUGGACAGUAGUGUCGGAACAGGCAGACACACCUUUUAGUGGCCAUGGUGUGUUUCUCACAGGCUUGAAAAAAAUAUUGUCAACGUCCCAAAUAUCACCUUAUUCCCUUUAUAGUGCACUACUUUUGAUCAGGGCCCUGGUCCAAAAGUAGUGCACUACAUAGGGAAUAGGGUGCCAUUUAGCUAUGGGCCAUGGUCUAAAGUAGUGCACUACAUAGGGAAUAGGGUGCCAUUUGGGACGCAUGGUUAUAUAAAUGGUAUGGCGAUGGCUAAAUAUGUCAUUGAAGGCAACAGAGGCUGCGAAGAUAGUUGCAUAGAUUUGGUUUCUGGAGUUUGAUGAUGUCAACUUAAGAUCUAGAUACAAAACGAAUCGUGAUUGUCUUUCCCGGAGAUCCGGCCUUAUUUCCAUACCAAAGAAAAGCAGUUGUUUAAAAAUAACCGAAUUUUACGUUAGAAGUUGUAAUAUCGUAGGAGGUUGUUAUACAUGGGAUUUGUAAUCAUCCAUGCACUCCUAGAGACUUAUGUUAUCAGUGAAAAGAAACAGAUAUAACUUGUUGUACGUCCUUAAUGGCACUCUAUAUAGUGCACUUGAUUUUGACCAGGACACAUAGGACCUUGGUCUAAAGUAGUGCACUAUUUAGAGAAUAGGGUGCCAUUUGGAACACACUGUAUAAGUUUUGUUUCAUUUUGGAGGAGAGAAAAGAAAAGAGGAGAAGCUUCGAAAAUCCAUGUACAGCAUGUUGCUAAGGAAACACUGGGCCAGACAGCAUGUAAACGUAUAUGAAAUGGUGGAGGUCCUUGUUGUAACGUAUAUGAAAUGGCGAAGGUCCUUGUUGUUGCUUAGGAAACACUGGGCCAGAGAGCAUGUAAACGUAUAUGAAAUGGUGGAGGUCCUUGUUGUUGCUAAGGAAACACUGGGCCAGACAGCAUGUAACGUAUAUGAAAUGGCGGAGGUCCUUGUUGUUUGCUUAGGCAAAACUGGGCCAGACAGCAUGUUGUUGAAACCAUCACUGCUAGCCAGCCAGCUAUGUGAUUAUAAUAGGAUGAUUUGCUUGAAUUUUGGCUAUUGUUAUUGUGGUAAAAGUCAUAGUCAAAAUUAAAGCUCCAUUAACUUGUAAAUAGGGUAGAUACAUAGAAAUGUAAGGCAUCAAGAAGAAAAAAAAGACUACUAUAUUAUGGCCAUCAUUCUAGCUAAGUAAGUCUAUGUGCCAUAUAAAGGAGAAGAAAAAAAGCUAAAUGUAUAUUAGUCAAGAUAAUAGAGACUGUGUGUUGUGUGUUGCAUUUCCGGCUCCUCAAUGUAUUUGUAAAAAGUAAUGCUGUCUGUUUGGUCUCUGGUUUGCUGAUGUGUUUUGACUUUCCUUUCAAAGGUAAUUAUUAUAAUAAUAAUGAUAAUAAUAGGUCUCUGAUGUGUGCUCUGAGCGAGAACAAUAGCAUGGUUUAUUGAUAAGAAGAAAAAAAAAAACAAGAGUUAUAUGAUAUAUAUAUAUAUAUAUAUAUAUAGCUGGUUGCAAACAUUUCUGCAACAUCAUCGAUUCUAUAGACAUUGUGUUCAUGUUUUCAACAAACAAACUUUGUAGGUUCACUUUUUAUUGCACUAAAUUUCUAUGCUAUGAAACAUGGCUUUGUCACAAACCUUAUAACGGACACAUGUCACGAGGGAAUGACGAAAUGAAGGCCCGCAACAACAACAACAACAACAAACACAACAAAAAAAAAAAUAUUUUUUAUGAUCUAAGAAAGAAUUGUCAUGUAGAAAAUGACUACUGUAAUUGUCAUGUAGCAAAAAAAACAAAAAAAAAGUGCAUUAAUAAUGAUCUCAGUGAGAUUUACUCAUUCUCAUCCACGAGAAUAUAAUCUAAGCGUUAAGGAAAAAUUAAAUGUUUAAAAUGAAUUUUUUUUUUUUAAAUGUUUAAAAACCUACAUGUUUCAUUAUGUUAAAAAAUGACUGUAGUACGUAGGCGUGCACGUGUUCAUGAUUUCUAUCCUACUACUUUGAAUUGUUAGGUGCCUCCAAAAUGGCACCCUAUUCCCUAUAUAGUACACUACUUUUUACCUGGUCAGAACUGUAGUAGUGCACUAUAUAGGGAAUAGGGUGCCUUUUCGAACGCACACUUAUUAAGGUAACCACUGUCUGCUGUGGUAAGGGCUGGCUCUGUGUACCUGACUGGUAGUGCUACUGUAAUACCUGACUGGCAGUGUUACUGUAGUACCUGACUGGCAGUGUUACUGUAGUACCUGACUGACAGUGUUACUGUAAUACCUGACUGGCAGUGUUACUGUAGUACCUGACUGACAGUGUUACUGUAUACCUGACUGACAGUGUUACUGUAAUACCUGACUGACAGUGUUACUGUAAUACCUGACUGACAGUGUUACUGUAGUACCUGACUGGCAGUGUUACUGUAGUACCUGACUGGCAGUGUUACUGUAAUACCUGACUGGCAGUGUUACUGUAGUACCUGACUGGCAGUGUUACUGUAGUACCUGACUGGCAGUGUUACUGUAGUACCUGACUGGCAGUGUUACUGUAGUACCUGACUAACAGUGUUACUGUAAUACCUGACUGACAGUGUUACUGUAGUACCUGACUGGCAGUGUUACUGUAGUACCUGACUGGCAGUGUUACUGUAGUACCUGACUGGCAGUGUUACUGUAGUAUCUGACUGGCAGUGUUACUGUAGUUAACUUAAUUACAGUAAGUUACAUUAUUUUACAUUGUGGGCUGUUUACUUAAUAUAAGUUAAUAUUGUUCUGUUUGUAUGGAGCUGUUUCGUUAAUGAUGGAUUUAUGUUUUUAUUUUUACAUACUUUUUUUAAUGUAGCAUUUGUAAAGAAAUAUGUUGUUAAAAAAAAAAAUCAAGAUUUUUGGCAUUAUUACUAUAAGGCACUGAUAUUUGAAUUAAAUCUUUGAAUGAGGGAAAAUGCACCUCCAUCUUUAGAUGUACACGAGUUCCAACUAUAGAAUUAGAAUGAGUUCUAAUGAUUCUAUGGUUCCAUCAAGCAGUGACUCUACUCUGUACGUUGUGAGUUCUGACUGACCCUGAGCCAGUACCAACUCAGUUUGACUAUCCUGUUCAUUCCUACCAGUAGAAGAAGCUCCCUCCCUCUGUUGUUGUCUGGUGUAAUGUGUCAUAUGUACAGUAGCUUGUUAAUAUGGCAAAACAAAACAUUCAUGUUUCUUUUUUUUUUCAAUGGAAAGUACUCACUGGUGAGAUUUUUAAAGUGGUUUUAAAAGCCAAUAAACUUCUUUUUUUUUAAAGAAUCUU